This 33-nucleotide ribosomal RNA is filed under the name Armillaria sp. 8 TG-2016. RNAcentral's name for it is "partial small subunit ribosomal RNA". Lineage: Eukaryota; Fungi; Basidiomycota; Agaricomycetes; Agaricales; Physalacriaceae. The record is from RNAcentral.
GGUUUCCGGUAGGUGACCUGCGGAGGAUCAUUA